UACGGAGGGUGCAAGCGUUAUCCGGAUUCACUGGGUUUAAAGGGUGUGUAGGCGGGUAUUUAAGUCAGUGGUGAAAUCUCCAGGCUCAACCUGGAAACUGCCAUUGAUACUAUUUAUCUUGAAUAUUGUUGAGGUAGGCGGAAUAUAUCAUGUAGCGGUGAAAUGCUUAGAUAUGAUAUAGAACACCGAUUGCGAAGGCAGCUUACUAAACAAUCAUUGACGCUGAGGCACGAAAGCGUGGGGAGCAAACAGG
RNAcentral lists this ribosomal RNA (253 nucleotides) under uncultured bacterium. Its description in RNAcentral is "partial 16S ribosomal RNA". It matches the Rfam family "Bacterial small subunit ribosomal RNA", at positions 524 to 776 of the family's 1533-position model. The record is from RNAcentral.